AUUGAACGCUGGCGGCAGGCCUAACACAUGCAAGUCGAACGGUAACAGGAAGAAGCUUGCUUCUUUGCUGACGAGUGGCGGACGGGUGAGGAAUGUCUGGGAAACUGCCUGAUGGAGGGGGAUAACUACUGGAAACGGUAGCUAAUACCGCAUAACGUCGCAAGACCAAAGAGGGGGACCUUCGGGCCUCUUGCCAUCGGAUGUGCCCAGAUGGGAUUAGCUAGUAGGUGGGGUAACGGCUCACCUAGGCGACGAUCCGUAGCUGGUCUGAGAGGAUGACCAGCCACACUGGAACUGAGACACGGUCCAGACUCCUACGGGAGGCAGCAGUGGGGAAUAUUGCACAAUGGGCGCAAGCCUGAUGCAGCCAUGCCGCGUGUAUGAAGAAGGCCUUCGGGUUGUAAAGUACUUUCAGCGGGGAGGAAGGGAGUAAAGUUAAUACCUUUGCUCAUUGACGUUACCCGCAGAAGAAGCACCGGCUAACUCCGUG
Molecule: ribosomal RNA, 490 nt
Filed under: uncultured bacterium
Lineage: Bacteria
Description: partial 16S ribosomal RNA
Rfam family: Bacterial small subunit ribosomal RNA
Source: RNAcentral